Molecule: long non-coding RNA, 2263 nt
Organism: Ictidomys tridecemlineatus (thirteen-lined ground squirrel)
Lineage: Eukaryota; Metazoa; Chordata; Mammalia; Rodentia; Sciuridae
Source: RefSeq, a predicted model, not a curated record
UAGACACUUUUCGAAACUCGGCAGCAGCGGCCGUUCUCAUGGGUCUGGCCUGACUGGGCCCAGCAACAAUGGGCCUUCUGUGCCCAGCCCGGGGCCUGCUCCAACAGGCCACCCCCCGGCUUCCAGCCCAGCCCCACACACUUCCGCCCUCACCUCCCUGGCCCGUGUGCCCACCCUGGGAGCAGGCACCCUUCCUCCUGCGGGCAGGGCGUGGGAGUGCAAGGGGCCAGGCCAGGGAACUAACUGGUUCUGCAGAAUUCCCAGGGCUGUGCAGGCCGGGCUGGAAGCCAGGAGGUCUCCGAGCAGGAACCAGUCCCCACCGCCACCCUCAGGGAAAGAGGAUCCGGGCCCCACUUUACAGGAGAGGAAGCGGAGGUUCCAAGGAAGCUCCCUGGCAAGGGUCACUGGGACCCGUGCAUCAAGGAUGUUCCUGGGCAGUGAUGUGACGGUCACUGUAUCGCUGCAGCUGCCGGCAGCCCAGCAGGCCCACGCACCAGGCCCCUCUUGACCACAGCCUGCCAACGCCUGGAAUGGGUUCAUCCCACUUGUGCGGAGGAGAGGACGGAGCCGAGAGAGCCUCAGUGCCCCCUGCAUGGUGGCCUCCGCCUGCCGACCGACCAGAGCAGCUGCCUGAAGCGGCCAGCCCGCCCCACCCGGCUGCUGCCCAGCCCCACUGCUCAGUGCUGAAGGAGCUACUGGGCAGAAGCCAGCUGGACCUUGGAGGUGGCCUGCGUGGGGCGUGUCCUGGGUGGGGCGCCCCCUGCCCCCUGGUCCAGCCCACCUCUUAGUUGAGACGCUGCUUUUGCAGAGACAGUUCCAGGAGGACCCGCACUGUCACGGGCUGUUGUUGGGCCUCUCCAGUCCCUGCUGUGUGUCCUCUCAGGGCACCUCUCAAAGGGUCCUGUCACCACCUGUUGCAUGUCUGCAUCCCUGUCCCACCCAAGAGCCUCAGCAGACAUCGACUCCCACCGUCUGGGUGCAGGGUGGCUCGGUCCCCGAGCUGCUCAGUGACUCCUAGUUGUUAGAGGCAGGAAGAGUUGAGACCCACGUGUCCGAGCUGGCCUCUGCAGCCCCCUGACCCACUGCGUUUCCAGCCCUUCUCUGGGCUAUGACACAAGUGCUCUGUGAACGUCGACCCUCAUGGUGAUCCAGUUUACAGAUGAGGAAACCAAGGCACAGAGGGCAUCAGGAGUCCCUUCCUGGGCAGCUCCAAGCAGCUCUACACCGACCACAGGAAGCUCUCACUGGCCCCACCUCUUAGGCCAGGGGAGACACUCACAGAGCACAACCUCUGAGGCCAGAGGGGACAGCCCCAGAGGGGACAGUCUCCAGGGGCAGCGUGCACACUCUCACACAGAACACUCUUUGAAGCUAAGCCAGCGUCUGCAGCCAGAAGAGCAGCGAGGACCUGCCCUGCUCUGUGUGGAAGAGGCUGGACAGGCUGGGGCCAGCCCUGCUGGGGUGGGGGGUGGGUGCCUAUGGGGCUGGCCCAGGCCUGGCCCAGCUGGGGCUCAGGAGGGCCUCCUGGGGACAGCGUGAAAUUGCCAUUCUCUGCUCAAAGGCUGCUGCUGGAGGGAGCCUUCCCGGCCCAGCUGGAGGAGGGUCAGCGGGUGCCCCUGGACACGUCCCGCCCAGGCCCAGGGUGCUCCUCACCACCUGCCCAGCACUGGUGGCCAGGACAGGAACCAGACGGGCCUGGGGCAAGGACUGCCUGAAGCUGUCAUGUUCUGUAGGGGCAGGGGGUCCAUUCAUGCCUGUGACAGGGCCCUUCUGGGGCCAGACAAAAGACACUGGCUCCCGGCAACAGACAGUAAGAACCGUGGUGCGCCGUCUGCGUGUUUGCAUGACUCGGCACACACAUGACAGAGGCGGCGGCAGGCCCAGUCACCACACGGCGGCCCUGGGCCCGGGAGCGCGCCCGCUCUGGCUCCUGACAGGUCCUGUGGCCUGCACCCAGGGGCUGGCCUGCCCACCCAUUUGGGGCCUUUGGGUGCCUCCAGCUCCCAGACCCAACUUCUCACCCCAGCCGGAAGUCCUCCUCCCUCCCUUCCUGCCAAGCCGGGCCUGACAGGGCAGGGGGCUCUCCAAAUUUGGAUGCCCGGCCCCUCCUGCUACAAUUAAUGCAAAUGACUUUCCCAGGUUUGGGCUUGAUAAUUUGAUUAUUUGUUCAGCAUUUAUCUUAAGCAAAGUGGAUGUCAAAUAACUGGAAACUAAUGUGGUAAAAACCAUUUAUAAAGCUGCCUCGUCGGGGGCCCUCCCCUAA